UACGUAGGUGGCGAGCGUUGUCCGGAAUCACUGGGCGUAAAGGGCGCGUAGGCGGUUAAUUAAGUCAGGUGUGAAAACUUUGGGCUCAACCCAGAGACUGCACCUGAUACUGGAUAACUUGAGUGCAGGAGAGGACAGUGGAAUUCCUAGUGUAGCGGUGAAAUGCGUAGAUAUUAGGAGGAACACCAGUGGCGAAGGCGGCUGUCUGGACUGUAACUGACGCUGAGGCGCGAAAGCGUGGGGAGCGAACAGG
This 253-nucleotide ribosomal RNA is filed under the name uncultured bacterium. Its description in RNAcentral is "partial 16S ribosomal RNA". It matches the Rfam family "Bacterial small subunit ribosomal RNA", at positions 524 to 776 of the family's 1533-position model. The record is from RNAcentral.